AUGGGCAAUAAAUAUGAUUAGUGUAUCCUCCAAAUCCAACGAAGAAGAAGAGAAGGUUCUCUAUAUGCUACACUCUUCAACCGAGUUCUUUCAAUAUUCUUGCCACCGCCUGCAUUCUCACUGCCGCCGCCGCCGCAGGCCUUUGAUUUCUCGGAGUUCUGUACAGUUAUUCAAAGUAAGUUCCUUCAAAGAGUGACAUGCAUUGAUGCAUGACGGAAGGAUUGUGAUACUGCUGUAAUCAAGGGAUAAAUUUGUGACAUGGUGAAAGCAAGGAAGAAGUGUAACGAGAAAUUCUUCUGUUAGAUGGCAAAAGCUGAAGUCAACAACACUUGUCAUAUCUGAAGACGUUGUUUCCCGCCGUUGAUCUUUGCCCUUCUUAAUUCGUGCAAGCCUCUUACAACUAUAAACCUCCAAAGUCUUCAGUUUUGGCAACAUAAAAAUACUAUUUGGUAAUUCAAGUAGCUUGUUGCAUCUAUCUAUAGAAAGGUUUGCAAGCCCCACAAGAAGUCCAAUGGAGUAGGGCAAUUCACUUAUGCCGGUAUCACUUAGACCAAGAUAUGUUAUGUUGACCAUCUUACCUAAAGUUUCUGGAAAAAUCUUGAUACUUGUACAAUUCCUAAGGGACAUGGUUUUAAGAGAGGGUAAGUUGAUGCCUUGAGGAAGAACACUGAGACUGGUGCAACGAUUAAGAUUCAAAUCUUCAAGUUUUUGAAGGAACCCGACGGAAUCAUGAACUUGAAUUAAAUUCUUGCAGGAAUCGAGAUGCAGUUUCUUCAAAUUCGGAGCUCCUGACAUGUCAGUCUUUUGUUCAACGAACCGCACCUGAAUCAUGCUCACAAACGGGGCAUCUAGUAGUCGAGGAACGAGGAAGUGGGGCCAGUAUAACUUUAGAGAAUGAAGUUGGCUUGGAGAUUGAGGUAUCCAUACAUUUUGAAUUCUUCACUAUCAAUAACAAGGAUGCAUAUUAAGAUUUCAUUGCCGACAUCAUGUUGGCUGUCGAGAUGGGGGCAGAAAACAUUAAAUUGUGAACAUAUUAAUAGUUGAUAGUAUCACAUGUUAAAAGAGGUCUGUCUCCCUAGUAAAGACAAGAGCCAACUCGUAUUCUGUGAUAGAGUGAACUUUGCAUUAAAGAGGAUUGUCGACUCCUUAAUUGAAAUGUGAAUAUGAGAUAUUCUCUUGUGCCAUAGCCAUAAUUUAUACUCUUUUCUAAGAAGACAACAUGCCUCAUUUGAAGAUAUAUUAUUCAAAUUGACAAGAUAAAUAUUUCCAAUUCUUUGAUUAGAAAAAAAGUCCAUUUUUUAAAUGAUUUUAUGACCUUUAUAUAUAGAAGAACAAUACUUCAUUACCUUUGUUACACAUUUCACUAAUACCAAGUUAAUUGCAUUUUAAACCUUUAACAAGUAAGACAUCUUCAAAGGUAGGAUUAAAACUCUUACCAACAAUACUAGAAACAACAAUUUAAUCUUUGUUGUUGUCACCAUAAGAGACAUAACCUCCAUUCUUAGGAGUGAAAUAUGAAAAAGUGUUUUUUGUCUUCCAUCAUAUAUUUUGAACAAUUAUUGUUGAGAUAACAUUUUUAGUUUGAGACGGGAAUCACAAAUUUAAGUCUUGACCUUUCGUAUUCCAAUCAUUUUGUGUCCUUUAGAUUUAGUGUAAAACAUGUUGUCUUUUGAAAUUCAUUUCCUCGUGACAUUUGUUUCGUGAUAUUUUCCCAUAUAACAAAAAGAAUAAGUGUGACCACGUUUACCACAUUAAAAACAUUUGGGUGUAAUAUGAUUAGAUGUCAUAUUUUGACGAUUAUAAUUUUUUAAACAAUUUAGCAUUAGUUUUUUGUUGAUAGUCUAUAUCGACUUUAUUGUAAGUUUCUCUUUGAUUGUCUAAGACGAUGUAGUGUUAUGCAAGUAUUCAAUUUUAGUUUUAAGAUUUUGCAUUCUUCACACUUACUAGUUUUUAAAUUUUUUUCCUUUCAAAAAGAGUAGAAAGAGAGUCUUUACUUAGAUAAAGUUUGUUUCUAUUUAAAAAGUUCUAUUUCCUAAUUUAUUUAAUCCAUUAUAUAAUUCUUAGUAGAUAUAAUAAACAUCAUUAUAUGUAAGUUAAGUUUUAAAGUUGUUUACCUCAUUUUCUUUGUGGUUUCCUAUGGGACAUAGGUUCACUUCUUCCUCUUGUUAGUUUCAUAGGAUGGGUAAAUGUUGUCCUCAUCCCAUGUUAUGUAAGAGCACCUCCAAUGGGAGGUUCUUCACUGCCGUUUUUCAGGUGGCAUCAAACUUUAUGUUCUCAAGGUGCUCUAGCUGGCCAACGGAAUAAAGAGAAGCAACAGUUCAUUCACUUUUUUUUAUAUUUUAAAAUACAAACUAGCCAUUGAGGGACCCAAUAUGAACAUAAUAUGAAUAAUAUGUUAAUUUAUAAAAUAAAGUUGUGGGACCUAAUAUGAGUUCUUGAGUUGCACCAUUGAAGUGAAAAAUUAAUUGAGUUGUUUCAAGCUGACGUGGCUUAAUAUGGCCCACAAAAAGCUAAAAAAUGAGUUCAUGAUUGGAGAUGCUCUAAGUUGUUUCUGAUUGUUUUUUUGGACUUUUGUAUAUUUCAGAUUUCUUUUGAUUAUGCGGAUAUUUUGACUUUAUAUGAAUCUUUUAGCCGCAUUAAAAGCAUGUCAGAAUGAAAGAUGAUAUUUCUUAUCUUUUUUUAAAGUUUGGUGGUUAU
Long non-coding RNA from Vicia villosa (hairy vetch), 2697 nucleotides. RefSeq lists it as uncharacterized. Lineage: Eukaryota; Viridiplantae; Streptophyta; Magnoliopsida; Fabales; Fabaceae. The record is from RefSeq and is a predicted model, not a curated record. The transcript is spliced from 3 exons.